This 512-nucleotide ribosomal RNA is filed under the name uncultured Streptococcus sp. Its description in RNAcentral is "partial 16S ribosomal RNA". The record is from RNAcentral. Lineage: Bacteria; Bacillati; Bacillota; Bacilli; Lactobacillales; Streptococcaceae.
CACGUAGUUAGCCGUCCCUUUCUGGUAGGAUACCGUCACAGUGUGAACUUUCCACUCUCACACUCGUUCUUCUCUUACAACAGAGCUUUACGAUCCGAAAACCUUCUUCACUCACGCGGCGUUGCUCGGUCAGACUUCCGUCCAUUGCCGAAGAUUCCCUACUGCUGCCUCCCGUAGGAGUCUGGGCCGUGUCUCAGUCCCAGUGUGGCCGAUCACCCUCUCAGGUCGGCUAUGUAUCGUCGCCUUGGUGAGCCGUUACCCCACCAACUAGCUAAUACAACGCAGGUCCAUCUGGUGGUGAUGCAAUUGCUACCUUUUAAGCAAAUGUCAUGCAACAUCUACUCUUAUGCGGUAUUAGCUAUCGUUUACCAAUAGUUACUCCCCCGCUACCAGGCAGGUUACCUACGCGUUACUCCUACCCGUUCGACAACUCACUCCAGAGAAGUACAAGCCUACCUUCCUUCAGUCGUUUCUACUUGCUAUGUAUUAGGCACGCCGCCAGUCGUCGUCCG